Molecule: long non-coding RNA, 2094 nt
Filed under: Salmo salar (Atlantic salmon)
Lineage: Eukaryota; Metazoa; Chordata; Actinopteri; Salmoniformes; Salmonidae
Description: lncRNA (ENSSSAG00000082713.1)
Source: RNAcentral
AGCAAGACCAAUUAGAGGUGUCAGCCAGUCAGUCACUUCCUGUUGAACGCGGAAUGAGGGAGAGCUCGGUUUGGUGUUUUGGAAAGUUUGUUGUUUUGAAAGUCUAUUGAAAAAGUUUGGUUAAUAACUAGCUCUCUUUUGAGUUUCGAUUCCGUAACCCGGUUGGCAUCAGUUGCUGGGACUGCUACUAUCUGUCCAGUGAUGCUGCCGACGAAGGCCGGUUCUGAGUAGCUGUUUGGCAUAUCAGCUAGCCUAGCUGCUAGCUAACUAGCUGCCUAUCAAGCUAGCAGGGUUUUCUUGAGGGCUUGAACGCAGCCCAUGAUGCGGUUAGCCAUUGUGGCUGGGACCACGGAUUGUCCCAAGCAGAUGUUACAACAACAAGAAAAUAGCUUCAAGUGUUGUGUCCAAAUACUGGUGGAGUCAGUUAAUAAAAGAAUAGAUGACCUGACCAGAGAGGCCCAGAACCUGAAGAACAGUUUGCAGUUCUCCCAGGGUCAGAUCGAUGAGUUUAAAUAAGAGAACGGCAAGAUGACAGCAAUCUAUAAGUCAUUGAGAGAAGACAUCAGUUCUGUUUAUGAAUCCAUAAUAACAAUGACAGAGAAAUCACAUUAUCUUGAGGGACAAUCAAGGCAGAACAACAUUGUUGAAGAUGGAAUUGCAGAAUCCACAUGAGACCUGAAUGAAGUCUGAGGACAAAGUGAGGGAAAUGAUCUCGGAGAAACUGAAGAUGGACCACUGGAAGAUUAAAGUGGAGCGGGCCCACACCGGGACAGGUAACAGGCCCUGGCCAAUAGUGGUCAAGUUCCUGAGGUUCAGGGACAAGGUAGCUGUUCUGGAAAGAGCCAAGAACUUGAGAGGAAUGUACAUCUUUCUCAACGAGGACUAUCCUGAAGCUGUGCAUCAGAAGAGGAAAGAACUUAUCCCAGCCAUGAAAGCUGCUGCCUGAGCGCGUGGGGACAUUGCUUACAUUGCUUACAUCCGCUAUGACAGGCUCUUUGUCCACCCUCCCUCCCAAAAGCCUGAAAGGGAUGAGAGAGCCAAGCCUAUGGGUCAUAGCUUCAACUCUGCAGCACACACACACACCAAUUGAUUAAUGGACUGCUGAAGUCUGUUUCCUGAGGUUCCUGAACGCACCCUGUCUGGUUGCCAGGCGACGAAGCUAGGAGGGAGAUCUCUCGAUUACCCGCACCUGCAUCUCAUCAGCCAUCUGCACACCUGGUCCUGAUCAUCACCUCUUCUCUUCAUAAGCUCUGACCUGACAUCCAUUCCCUGCCGGAUCGUUAGCAAUGAACAUCAUCCUCCCGGAACAUUCACCCCCCCUGCCUGGUCGUCGGUGGCUUCUGUGACAUCAUUGGAUCUGCCUAUUCACUCUCAUCACCCCACCUCCACUGCCGCUCCGUCUCCUGGAUUAUUCUGCUUUCACCUCGAGACUGUAAAUAAAUACUCACCUUCAUUUUACUCACCUUGUCCUGGUCGGCUUCUGGGUUCUGCUUUAGAGAAUCGUGACAGUUAUUGAAGUGUUGUGGUUGCAGGUUCACCUGACACAUCUAAAGCCUUUUCUUUUGGGGUGUUGCUAUAGGCCACCAAGUGCUAACAGUCAGUAUCUAAAUAAUAUGUGUGAAAUGCUUGAUAGUGUAUGUGAUGUAAACAGAGAGGACUACUUUCUUGGGGACCUGAAUAUUGAUCAUAUAUUCAUCAAGCUGUCCACUCAAGAGGAAGUGUCUCACUGUAACCAGUGCCUGUAACCUGGUUCAGGUUAUUAAUCAACCUACCAGUGUUUACAAACACUACAGGAACAAAAUCAUCCACAUGUAUUGAUCUCCUUUUUACUAAUACUGUAGAACUUCAUUCUAAAGCUGUAUCUGUACCCAUUGGAUGCAGUGAUCACGAUAUAGUGGUUAUAUCCACGAAAGCCAAAGUUCCAAAAGCUGGGCCUAAAAUAGUGUAUAAGAGACCAUACAUUUUGCUGUGACUCUUAUGUGAACGAUGUUAAAAAUAUUUGUUGGUCUAAUGUGAUUUUAUAAGGAGCAUCCAGACGCAGCACUUGAUUUAUAAAAUUGCUUCUUCCAAUUAUUGAUAAACAUGCACCUGUUA